GUUCAAAAUGUAAAUGCACUGGGAAACAACGGAAGGCAAGAAAAGUAGCUACAACUUUCAAGUAGACACGUCAGAAAAGACCUCUAUCUGUCAUUUUUAAGACAAAUUAAAAGGAAGUGAUGCAGUCUGCCCGCAUGGUGGGUCCCUGGUGGGGGACAUAUGGAAGAUUUUCUUUGUGAUUGCAUACGGCCCAGCUUGAACAUGAGUGAAGGAAAUACACUGGACAUUUGCCACCAGUUUUAUGAUUUGUAUGUUCGAUUUUAGCCUACAUGUUGGUUAAAGUACAACAGAAUGGAUUCACAUGUUUCAGUAAGAACAAUGUAUUUAUUGUGAACAAGAGAGCAGUCCUG
Long non-coding RNA from Esox lucius (northern pike), 350 nucleotides. RefSeq lists it as uncharacterized. The transcript has 3 exons. Lineage: Eukaryota; Metazoa; Chordata; Actinopteri; Esociformes; Esocidae. The record is from RefSeq and is a predicted model, not a curated record.